This 492-nucleotide ribosomal RNA is filed under the name uncultured bacterium. RNAcentral's name for it is "partial 16S ribosomal RNA". It matches the Rfam family "Bacterial small subunit ribosomal RNA", at positions 29 to 507 of the family's 1533-position model. The record is from RNAcentral.
AGUGAACGCUGGCGGUAGGCCUAACACAUGCAAGUCGAACGGCAGCACAGUAAGAGCUUGCUCUUACGGGUGGCGAGUGGCGGACGGGUGAGGAAUGCAUCGGAAUCUACUUUUUCGUGGGGGAUAACGUAGGGAAACUUACGCUAAUACCGCAUACGACCUACGGGUGAAAGCAGGGGAUCUUCGGACCUUGCGCGAUUGAAUGAGCCGAUGUCGGAUUGGCUAGUUGGCGGGGUAAAGGCCCACCAAGGCGACAAUCCGUAGCUGGUCUGAGAGGAUGAUCAGCCACACUGGAACUGAGACACGGUCCAGACUCCUACGGGAGGCAGCAGUGGGGAAUAUUGGACAAUGGGCGCAAGCCUGAUCCAGCCAUACCGCGUGGGUGAAGAAGGCCUUCGGGUUGUAAAGCCCUUUUGUUGGGAAAGAAAAGCAGCAGGUUAAUACCCCGCUGUUCUGACGGUACCCAAAGAAUAAGCACCGGCUAACUUCGUG